This 5563-nucleotide long non-coding RNA is filed under the name Triticum aestivum (bread wheat). RNAcentral's name for it is "long non-coding RNA (TAES_LNC017772)". Lineage: Eukaryota; Viridiplantae; Streptophyta; Magnoliopsida; Poales; Poaceae. The record is from RNAcentral.
AAUACUCUAGAAAACAUUAUGUAAGUUUCACCAUUCUACUCAUAGCUACUCACAACUAGAAGACUCUAGAAAACAGUAGGUAGGAUAGAAAAGAAAAGGAAAGAAAUACUACACUAGAGUGGAAGCAUCUAGGAGUAGCCAAACAGAUCUGGCAUGUGUUUUCUUUCUUCUCAUCUAGUGUUCCUCAUCAUUCUCCCUUGGUUGUUUGGAACUCGCCCUCGAGUUAUCUUCAUAGAGCGCUUCUUCUGGAUGGUAGAGAGUCAAGUCCGCAACAUUGAAAGUGUUGGAGAUACCCAUGUCACUUGGAAGAUCUAUCACAUAAGCAUUAUCAUUUAUCUUCCUCAUGAUAGAGAAGGACCCAUACCUUCGCUGCCUAAGUUUCCCUUUAACACCUAAAGGCAGCCUCUCUUUUUGGAGGUAGACCAUCACCUUAUCACCGACUUGGAAUGAUUUUGGCCUCUUUUUGCAAUCAGCAAGUUGUUUAUAUUUCUGAUUUUGUGCUUCCAAAGCGCCGCGAAUCUCUUCAAAUAACUCCGUGUAAUUAUCAGCAAAGGACAAUGCUGAUUUUGAGUUUCCCCUUGAUGGCAGCUUCACCAGGUCCACCACAUGUGUUGGAACUUUAGUGUAGACAAUGGAAAAAGGGCUCCUUCCUGUGGAUCUAUGCUUGGAGUUAUUGUAGGAGAACUCUGCGAGAGAUAAAGCCAAAUCCCAUUGCCCCUUUCUUUCUCCACAAAUGCAACGGAUCAGAUUACCCAAAAACUUGUUCACCACUUCCGUUUGUCCAUCUGUUUGUGGAUGAGCAGUGCUAGAAAAUUUCAAUUCAGUGUUGAAUUGCUUCCACAAAGUGAGCCAAAAUGCAGCAAGAAACUUGCUAUCACGGUCUGAGACAAUGGACCUUGGAACUCCAUGAAGUCUGGCCACUUCUCGAAAGAAUAGGUUUGCCACAUGAUGAGCAUCCGUUGUCUUGCGGCAUGGGAUGAAAUGAGCCAUCUUAGAGAAUCUAUCCACGACCACAAAUACAUCAUCACUUCCUCGUCUUGUUCUUGGCAAGCCCAAGACGAAGUCCAUAGAAAUGUCCUCCCAUGGAGCAACAGGAACAGGCAAAGGCAUGUAUAACCCUGUGUUCUGGACUUGGCCUUUGUAGGUCUGACAUACGGGGCACCGUUGAACGAACUUUCCAGCAUCUCUCUUUAGUUGUGGCCAAAAGUAGCGAGCUUCCAGGUUAGCGAUAGUCUUGUCCCGUCCAACAUGGCCACUAAGAUCACUUGAAUGGAGCUCUCUAACCAGCUUGUCACGUAGAGAACUUCUUGGAAUGCACAAACGAUCAUUUUUGAAGAGAUAUCCAUCUUGCAUCAAAUAGUCAUCACCUAAUGGUUGGCCCCUUGCGUGCUUUACCCAAACAUGGCCAAAGUCUUCGUCACCCUCAUACAACUCCUUUAUUUGACCCAUGCCCGGAAGUUCAGCUUCAAAAGAAGUCAAGAGGCAUGCACGACGACUCAAAGCAUCGGCCACUCUGUUAGUUAUUCCAGAUUUAUGCACGAUGAGAUAGUUAAACCUCAAGAUAUGCUGCCCAUCUUGCUAGCAUGCGGUCAACAUGCUUUUGAUUUCUAAAAUGCUUCAAGGAUUGAUGGUCGCUAUAAACAAUGAACUCUUUAGGCAGCAAAUAGACUUCCCAAGUUUUCAACGCUCUGAAAACGGCAUAUAAUUCUUGCUGAUAGGUACUCCAUUUCUGUCUAGCUUCACUUAACUUCUCACUAAAGAAAGCAAUGGGCUUCCUUUCUUGAGAUAGGACAGCUCCAAUGCCUAGUUGCCUACUCCACUUGCAUCACACUCCAACUCAAGAGUCUUGUUGAAAUCAGGUGGUACCAAGACAGGAGCUUGUGAUAGCUUUUGUUUAAUCUCAUUGAAGCUAGCUUCAGCUGCUUCUGCCCAUUGGAACUUUCCUUUCUUCAAACACUCGGUAAUUGGUGCCAUGAUAGUGCUGAAAUUCUUAACAAAUCGCCUAUAGAAAGUUGCAAGGCCAUGAAAGCUUCUUACCUCAAAAAUGGUCUUAGGAGUUGGCCAUUCUUGGAUUGCUUCAACCUUAGAAUCAUCAACACGAAUGCCGUCACAUGUUAUGACGAAUCCUAGGAAAAGAAGUUGUGUUUGCAGGAAAACACAUUUCUUCAAGUUGACGUAGAGCUCAUUUUCCCUUAGUACUUCUAGCACCUUCCGAAUGUGAUCAAAGUGUUCAUCCUCAUCCUUGCUAUAGAUCAAGAUGUCAUCGAAAUAGACCACAACAAAGUGGGAUAAGAAGGGUCUAAGGACUUGAUUCAUUAAGUGCAUAAAGGUACUUGGUGCAUUUGAGAGUCCAAAUGGCAUGACUAGCCAUUCAAACAACCCUUCCUUUGUCUUGAAGGCGGUCUUCCAUUCAUCCCCGGGUCUUAUACGGAUUUGAUGAUAUCCACUUCUUAAAUCUAGCUUUGUGAACACUCUUGCUCCACUAAGCUGAUCCAACAUAUCAUCCAGACGGGGAAUAGGGAAUCUAUACCUUACGGUGAUCUUGUUAACGGCUCUACUGUCCGUACACAUGCGCCAAGAUCCAUCUUUCUUUGGCGCGAGUAGGGCUGGUACAGCACAUGGGCUAAUACUUUCUCGAAUGUGCCCCUUUUGCAACAAUUCCUCCACUUUCUCCUUCAAUAUACCAUGCUCCUUUGGGCUCAUUCGAUAGUGUGGAAGAUUAGGAAGACUUGCUCCCGGAAUUAAGUCAAUUCUAUGUUGAAUUCCUCUCAUCGGUGGCAAGCCAUGUGGCUCCCCAAGUAUGUUUUGAAAUUCUGCCAAUAAACCACGUACCUUUGCUGGAAUUUCAACAGUCAGGUGCUCUUCUCCCUUUACAACAAGUGCAGCACACAAAUCUGCCUCCUUCAAGUCUUCCAUAAACUCAUGAGAGGUAUGGGAGAUAGUUAACAUAGUUUUCCCCUCCUCCUUAGAGGUAUUACCUUUGGGUUUGUUUGGUAAGAUAAUGAUCCUUCUCUUGUUCCAAAUGAAAGAGUAAGAAUUUUCCUUGCCCUUGUGUGUAGUAUCCACAUCAAAUUGCCAAGGUCUCCCAAGAAGAACAUGGCUGGCAUCCAUGUCAACCACAUCACACAACACAUUUGAGCGAUAAUGCUUACCCAAAGAAAGUGGCAGGUUGCAUUGUUUGGUGAUCCUCAUAUUCACUCCUUUCUUGAUCCAUCCAAUAGUGUAGGGAUUUGGAUGAUCAUGGGUUUCAAGCUUUAAAUGGUCCACCAACUUCUGGGAGAUAAGAUUCUCGCAGCUGCAACUAUCAAUCACUAGUUUGCAUACCUUGCCAUUCACCGUGCAUUUGCUCUCAAAUAUUUUCUUCCGUUGUGUAUCAUCGAGUUGUGGUGUGGAACAUAGGACACGCUGGAUCACACAUACCACCUCUUCACCUUCUUCUUGACAAACCUCUUGUCCGUCUACAUCUUCAGAUUCGUAUUCUUCCUCAUCGCUUUCACCAUCAUGGAUAGUCGUGUUAACAAAUUUCCUUAGUGGGCAGCCGCUGGAUAUGUGUCCCUCUUUACCACAUUUAUAGCACUUUGGGCCUUCAUUUGCCUUACCCUUGCCUCUAGUUUGCUUCGGGAUGGGCUGUUUUGUCUUUGGUGGAGUGGUCUUUUCUUCCACUCUGUUAGGUUGGCUCCUAGAUGAGCCUUCGGUAUGAGAAUAUGGAGGAUAUGGAGCCUUAGUUGUCUUUCUCAUCCUCACAAACCUCUCGGCCUUUAAGGCUAGAGCUUGUGCUUGAUCAACGGACCAGAUUUGUUGCAUCAUCAAUCGAUCUUGAAUAGCAUCAUUGAGACCAUUGAUGUACCUUGCAACUUGUUGCUCUUCAGUUUCAGCAAGGUUGCACCUCACUUGUAGCCUUAGAAACUCCUCCGUGUAAUCUGAAACAGUCCUAUUUCCUUGAGCACAAUUUUGAAAUUGGAUAAAUAGGAUCUGGUCAUAAUCAUCGGGCAAAAAUCUCCCUUUCAAGAGGCCUUUCAUUUGUCGCCAAGUUCUAACACGAGGUUCUCCUCUGAGCCUGCGCUCCUCUUGAACGCGAUGCCACCAUGCACCGGCUCCUCCUUUCAGUUUGUAUGCGACCAAAGGAACUCUACGAUCUUCUGAAACCUCCAUGACCUCAAAGAAAGUCUCCACUUCAUAUAACCAAUCCAGGCACCCUUCAAUGUCAACAUUUCCAUUAAAACUUGGGAUCUCAGCUUUCACCUUGUAUGUAUCUCUUGCAUAUGUAGGGUUGGGUGCUCUCCGAUAUGCGUAGACAUUUGGCUCUUCAAGGGCAUCAUCAUACUCUUCACCUUCAGAAGCCUCAACAUAAAUUGGCCUUCUUGAAUCACGUUGAACAACAUGUUGUCAUGGCAGUCUUGCUCCAAGAUUACCUCUCCUUCUUCCUUGAUGAACAUCUUCCUCUUCUUUAGAUGAAUCUCCUUCAUUGGUAGCAGGGGGGACACCCUUUCUUAUCAUCUCAACCAGCUGGUCAAAUCUCCUAUUAAGAUCUUCACGCAGCUCUUUGAUUUGUUGUUCAGCAGCAUCCAUCCUCUUCUCCAAUUGCUCCAUUGCUUGCUGCAACUUACUCUCGAAGAGGACAGCAAGAACUAGUAUGGGUCAACGAGGCUCUGAUACCACCUGAAGCAACACAAAGUUUGUGGAGGAGCAACUCCACCUUGCUGCUACAAUGUGUACAGCACAAGUGUUGAAGGAACAGCUUCAACGUGCUGCGCUAGAUAUCGCUCUAGAGGCGAAUGUAGGUUGAUAGGCAGCAAGAGUUCAAUCCAGAACUCCUAGGGCACAAGAUCUACUCCAAGAUCUUAGAUAAGAACAACAAGUUCUAUUAUAGGUAGGGGUACAUAGUCUGCCUCCAAAGUAGAGGCGAGGACCUCUAUUUAUAGGGCUUUGGGAAGCCUUCAUAUACUUCUACUUAUAGCUGGAAUACUCUAGAAAACAUUAUGUAAGUUUCACCAUUCUACUCAUAGCUACUCACAACUAGAAGACUCUAGAAAACAGUAGGUAGGAUAGAAAAGAAAAGGAAAGAAAUACUACACUAGAGUGGAAGCAUCUAGGAGUAGCCAAACAGAUCUGGCAUGUGUUUUCUUUCUUCUCAUCUAGUGUUCCUCAUCAACUAGUCACGACUAGUCGCGAUUUUUGGGUCGAACGACUCGAGGCAGCGCUGGAUCUGGAGCACUCUCCCACCGCCGUGCUGCUGAUGCUGCUGCUGUGCUGUCUCGCCGCUGCUGCUUCUGCGCCCCCGCUGCAGCGCUGGCCGCUGCCGCCGCUGCUGCUGAAGCUGCAGCAGCAAGAGGAGCGGGCUGGGAGGAGGAGCGGUGGCAAGAGAGCUGCUGCGGGGGAGUUGAGAGAUCCAUCGCUGGGAGGAGUGGUGGACUGGUGGCAAGAGAGUGCCAGCAGAAUGUGUGGCGGCUGUGGUGAGGGAGGAGGGAGUGUGGAUGGUGGAUUAGGUCACGGGAGGAGUAUAUAGCUACUAGAUGGGCUUUUGGGCCACAGGGAAGUGCAUAACUAGUGGCCCAUCUCUCAG